RNAcentral lists this ribosomal RNA (497 nucleotides) under uncultured bacterium. RNAcentral's name for it is "partial 16S ribosomal RNA". It matches the Rfam family "Bacterial small subunit ribosomal RNA", at positions 28 to 507 of the family's 1533-position model. The record is from RNAcentral.
GAUGAACGCUGGCGGCGUGCCUAAUACAUGCAAGUCGAGCGAACAGACGAGGAUCUUGCUCCUCUGACGUUAGCGGCGGACGGGUGAGUAACACGUGGAUAACCUCCCUAUCAUACUGGGAUCACUUCGGGACACCGGAUCUAAUACCGUAUAAUCUAUUGCACCGCAUGGUUCAAUAGUGAAAGACGGUUUUGCUGUCACUUCUCGCUGGAUCCGCGCCGCAUUAGCUAGUUGGUAAGGUCACGGCUUACCAAGGCUACGAUGCGUAGCCGACCUGAGAGAGGGAUAGGCGACACUGGAACUGAGACACGGUCAUGAGUCCUAAGGGAGGCAGCAGUAGGGAAUCUGCGGCAAUGGGCGAAAGCCUGACGGAGCAAGGCGGCGUGAGUGAUGAAGGUCUUCGGAGCGUAAAAAUCGGUUAUUAGGGAAGAACAAAUGUGGAAGGAAAUAUGCACGUCGUGACGGUAACGAAUCAGAAAGCAACGGCUAACUACGUG